Molecule: ribosomal RNA, 468 nt
Filed under: uncultured bacterium
Lineage: Bacteria
Description: partial 16S ribosomal RNA
Rfam family: Bacterial small subunit ribosomal RNA
Source: RNAcentral
GACGUACGCUGGCGGCGUGCUUAACACAUGCAAGUCGAACGGAAAGGCCCUGCUUUUGUGGGGUGCUCGAGUGGCGAACGGGUGAGUAACACGUGAGUAACCUGCCCUUGACUUUGGGAUAACUUCAGGAAACUGGGGCUAAUACCGGAUAGGAGCUCCUGCUGCAUGGUGGGGGUUGGAAAGUUUCGGCGGUUGGGGAUGGACUCGCGGCUUAUCAGCUUGUUGGUGGGGGAGUGGCUUACCAAGGCUUGGACGGGUAGCCGGCCUGAGAGGGUGACCGGCCACAUGGGGACUGAGAUACGGCCCAGACUCCUACGGGAGGCAGCAGUGGGGAAUAUUGCACAAUGGGCGGAAGCCUGAGGCAGCAACGCCGCGUGCGGGAUGACGGCCUUCGGGUUGUAAACCGCUUUCGCCUGUGACGAAGCGUGAGUGACGGUAAUGGGUAAAGAAGCACCGGCUAACUACGUG